GAUGAACGCUAGCUACAGGCUUAACACAUGCAAGUCGAGGGGAAACGACAUCGAAAGCUUGCUUUUGAUGGGCGUCGACCGGCGCACGGGUGAGUAACGCGUAUCCAACCUGCCCACCACUUGGGGAUAACCUUGCGAAAGUAAGACUAAUACCCAAUGAUAUCCCACGAAGGCAUCCGAAUGGGAUUAAAGAUUUAUCGGUGAUGGAUGGGGAUGCGUCUGAUUAGCUUGUUGCGGGUAACGCCACCAAGGCUACGAUCAGUAGGGGUCUGAGAGGAAGGUCCCCCCACAUUGGAACUGAGACACGGUCCAAACUCCUACGGGAGCAGCAGUGAGGAAUA
Molecule: ribosomal RNA, 341 nt
Filed under: uncultured bacterium
Lineage: Bacteria
Description: bacterial SSU rRNA
Rfam family: Bacterial small subunit ribosomal RNA
Source: RNAcentral